Long non-coding RNA from Salvia splendens (bonfire salvia), 311 nucleotides. RefSeq lists it as uncharacterized. Lineage: Eukaryota; Viridiplantae; Streptophyta; Magnoliopsida; Lamiales; Lamiaceae. The record is from RefSeq and is a predicted model, not a curated record. The transcript has 3 exons.
AAAAUGUGGAUUGUUGGUAUUGCAGAAUGUACAAUCAAAGGCUGCAGAGAUCGGUUGGGGUUUAGGAGUGCUGCAGGCUGUCCCAUGCUCCUUUGGGAUUGUUUGGCCUCUUUUCACUAAAGUCUCGGUUGAAGUGGAAGACAAUGCAGGAGCUCACUUGCCACUCUAGGCAAGACUUGCUUUUCAUCCUUGAAAGUUGGGAAAUGAUCCGGCUGUUGUGCUGCGAAGUGGGCCCAGUGCUCUGGGUCGACAGUUCGUUUGGGCCCGGCCCGCAGGGGUGUGGUUUUGGGCUCGUGAAUAAAAGAUUCAAG